RNAcentral lists this unclassified non-coding RNA (695 nucleotides) under Limnodynastes salmini (salmon-striped frog). Its description in RNAcentral is "partial contains 12S ribosomal RNA, tRNA-Val and 16S ribosomal RNA". The stretch from base 1 to 449 matches the Rfam family "Bacterial small subunit ribosomal RNA", at positions 888 to 1533 of the family's 1533-position model. Lineage: Eukaryota; Metazoa; Chordata; Amphibia; Anura; Limnodynastidae. The record is from RNAcentral.
CCACCCUUAAAACCCAAAGGACUUGACGGUGCCCCAUAUCCCCCUAGAGGAGCCUGUCCUAUAAUCGAUGAUCCACGUUAAACCUCACCACUUCUUGCCUACCCGCCUGUAUACCUCCGUCGUCAGCUCACCGCAUGAGCGAUUUAUAGUGAGCAAAAAGGCCAUUCGCCAAAACGUCAGGUCAAGGUGCAGCACAUGAAGUGGGAAGAGAUGGGCUACAUUUUCUAACUCUAGAAAAAACGAAAGACCUAGUGAAACCCUGUCAGAAGGCGGAUUUAGCAGUAAAGAAAGACCAAAAUGCUCUCUUUAACACGGCCCAGGGGCAUGUACACACCGCCCGUCGCCCUCUUCGAUAAUACAAUUUAGUAAAUAACUAACCUAAACUUCUAAGAAGAGGUAAGUCGUAACAUGGUAAGUAUACCGGAAGGUGUGCUUGGAACCGAAAUGUAGUUUAACUAAAACAACUUGCUUACACCAAGUUAAUGUUCGUGAAACCCGCGCCGUUUCGAGCCUAAACUUUAGCCCCCACCCCAUUUAUUUUAAUCAUAUAACAUUGUUAACUCACCUAAAACAUUUUCACAAUUUAGUAGAGGCGAUCAAAAAAUUUUCAGGAGCUAUAAAAUUAGUACCGCAAGGGAAUAAUGAAAUAGAAAUGAAAUAAUACUAAAGCACAUAAAAGUAGAGCUUAUCCCUCG